Molecule: ribosomal RNA, 281 nt
Filed under: Rhodomonas sp. CCMP768
Lineage: Eukaryota; Cryptophyceae; Pyrenomonadales; Pyrenomonadaceae
Description: partial Bacterial large subunit ribosomal RNA
Rfam family: Bacterial large subunit ribosomal RNA
Source: RNAcentral
CGUGCUGGGUAGGGGAGCGUUGUGUAAGUGGAUGAAGGUGAGUUGUAAAGCUUGCUGGACAUAUCACAAGUGCGAAUGCUGACAUGAGUAACGAUAAUGGGUGUGAAAAACACCCACGCCGAAAGACCAAGGUUUCCUGCGCAACGUUAAUCGACGCAGGGUUAGUCGGUCCCUAAGGCGAGGCUGAAAAGCGUAGUCGAUGGAAAACAGGUUAAUAUUCCUGUACUUCUGGUUAUUGCGAUGGAGGGACGGAGAAGGCUAGGCCAGCACGGCGUUGGUUG